Molecule: ribosomal RNA, 429 nt
Filed under: Bacteroidota bacterium
Lineage: Bacteria; Pseudomonadati; Bacteroidota
Description: Bacteroidetes bacterium partial 16S ribosomal RNA
Rfam family: Bacterial small subunit ribosomal RNA
Source: RNAcentral
UAGGGAAUCUUCGGCAAUGGGGGGAACCCUGACCGAGCAACGCCGCGUGAGUGAAGAAGGUUUUCGGAUCGUAAAGCUCUGUUGUCAAGGAAGAACGAGUGUGAGAAUGGAAAGUUCAUGCUGUGACGGUACUUAACCAGAAAGGGACGGCUAACUACGUGCCAGCAGCCGCGGUAAUACGUAGGUCCCGAGCGUUGUCCGGAUUUAUUGGGCGUAAAGCGAGCGCAGGCGGUUAGAAAAGUCUGAAGUGAAAGGCAGUGGCUCAACCAUUGUAGGCUUUGGAAACUGUUUAACUUGAGUGCAGGAGGGGAGAGUGGAAUUCCAUGUGUAGCGGUGAAAUGCGUAGAUAUAUGGAGGAACACCGGUGGCGAAGGCGGCUCUCUGGUCUGUAACUGACGCUGAGGCUCGAAAGCGUGGGGAGCGAACAGG